RNAcentral lists this non-coding RNA (23 nucleotides) under Arabidopsis thaliana (thale cress). Lineage: Eukaryota; Viridiplantae; Streptophyta; Magnoliopsida; Brassicales; Brassicaceae. The record is from RNAcentral.
AGGAUUGGCUCGUUUGAGUCCUA